RNAcentral lists this ribosomal RNA (253 nucleotides) under uncultured bacterium. Its description in RNAcentral is "partial 16S ribosomal RNA". It matches the Rfam family "Bacterial small subunit ribosomal RNA", at positions 524 to 776 of the family's 1533-position model. The record is from RNAcentral.
UACGGAGGGGGCUAGCGUUGUUCGGAAUUACUGGGCGUAAAGCGCGCGUAGGCGGCUUUCUAAGUCAGGGGUGAAAUCCUGGAGCUCAACUCCAGAACUGCCUUUGAUACUGGAGAGCUUGAGUCCGGGAGAGGUGAGUGGAACUCCGAGUGUAGAGGUGAAAUUCGUAGAUAUUCGGAAGAACACCAGUGGCGAAGGCGGCUCACUGGCCCGGUACUGACGCUGAGGUGCGAAAGCGUGGGGAGCAAACAGG